UUGUCUCAAAGAUUAAGCCAUGCAUGUCUCAGUGCAAGCCGAAUUAAGGUGAAACCGCGAAAGGCUCAUUAAAUCAGCUAUGAUUCAAUUGAUGGUACGAUCACGGUUACUUGGAUAACUGUGGCAAUUCUAGAGCUAAUACAUGCAAAACGAGUUCCGACCGCGGGUCCGCGUCGUUCGCGCGACCGUUCUCGCGGAACGAAUGCUUUUAUUAGAACAAAACCAAUCGGAUCUUUCGGAACGUUGGACGAUUCGCGCGCGCGGUGCCGAGCGCCUCCGCGGCUCUCGCCCGCGCGCCGGAUCCGACCGAAAGAGAUCCGCAAAUCUAUGACGAAUCUGAAUAACUUUGAGCUGAUCGCACGGUCUCGAACCGGCGACGCAUCUUUCAAAUGUCUGACUUAUCAACUUUCGAUGGUAGGCUACGCGCCUACCAUGGUGAUAACGGGUGACGGGGAAUCAGGGUUCGAUCCCGGAGAGGGAGCCUGAGAAACGGCUACCACAUCCAAGGAAGGCAGCAGGCGCGCAAAUUACCCACUCCCGGCACGGGGAGGUAGUGACGAAAAAUAACGAUGCAGGACUCUUUUCGAGGCUCUGCAAUCGGAAUGAGCACACUCUAAAUCAUUUAACGAGUAUCCAUUGGAGGGCAAGUCUGGUGC
RNAcentral lists this ribosomal RNA (656 nucleotides) under Pediculus schaeffi. Its description in RNAcentral is "bacterial SSU rRNA". It matches the Rfam family "Eukaryotic small subunit ribosomal RNA", at positions 32 to 567 of the family's 1831-position model. The record is from RNAcentral. Lineage: Eukaryota; Metazoa; Arthropoda; Insecta; Psocodea; Pediculidae.